Molecule: ribosomal RNA, 294 nt
Filed under: uncultured microorganism
Description: partial 16S ribosomal RNA
Rfam family: Bacterial small subunit ribosomal RNA
Source: RNAcentral
GUGCCAGCAGCCGCCGGUAAUACGUAGGGGUGCAAGCGUUGUCCGGAAUUAUUGGGCGUAAAGAGCUCGUAGGCGGUUUGUCGCGUCUGCUGUGAAAUCCCGAGGCUCAACCUCGGGCCUGCAGUGGGUACGGGCAGACUAGAGUGCGGUAGGGGAGAUUGGAAUUCCUGGUGUAGCGGUGGAAUGCGCAGAUAUCAGGAGGAACACCGAUGGCGAAGGCAGAUCUCUGGGCCGUAACUGACGCUGAGGAGCGAAAGCGUGGGGAGCGAACAGGAUUAGAUACCCUGGUAGUCC